Molecule: long non-coding RNA, 1259 nt
Filed under: Cottoperca gobio
Lineage: Eukaryota; Metazoa; Chordata; Actinopteri; Perciformes; Bovichtidae
Description: lncRNA (ENSCGOG00000014859.1)
Source: RNAcentral
UCCCGACCUUCUAGUGUUUUGUUUGGAAGACGUACCACUAGAUCACUAGGCCAUCACCACCCACAGCUUCUGUGUACUUGUGUAAUGGAGUCUCUAUGUUUCAAAGCUUAAAGCUGAUAGAUCAGUUGAGUUGUGAUGAGACGACGAGAUGCAGACGUCCUGAAAGACUUCAGAAUUCAGGAUUCAGAGAAACAAAAUGUAGAUUUUAGAAAAUAGAUUCAUAUUCAAACAGUCUGAAAAUAUCUUAAAUCAUGUUUUCCGUCCAUACAAAGCCUGAAAUGUUUCAGAACACUGCAACAAUUUAGUGUCUGCUAAUAAUGGGAAAUAAAUUAUGAGCAAUUAAUUUGUACCAGAAAUAAAAUGAAUAACUUAUAAUGUUAAAAAGGCAUUCAAGAGACAUUGUAUAAUAUAUAUAUUUUUUAAAUUCAGACGGAUUUAUCGAACAGGAGCCAAAUCUGUGUGAAAAACACGUAUCCCGUGGAGCCGACCCUGUUCGUCCUGAGUCCUCUGCAGCCCGAGGGCGCCGGGGGGACGUCUCCGCUUGGCCCUGAGGUUUGUCUGGCGACUGAUUUCCGUCCGAAGGAAGGCGAGAUGGUUCUGAAUGUGUGUGGGGGGGCACUCAAUCAGGGCACCAGCGCCGCCGUCGUGUCCCCGAGUCAUAAAACGUACUUCUACUUUGGAUUCACCAACCAGACCAUCCACUCCUGUGAGCUGCACGACACGCCGUCCAACAACGACAACAUUGACAUGUGUGACGACUUUCAUCCAGAGAACGCCAGGCUGAACUUCAUCCUGCUGGUGAUGAACGGCGUGAGGGUGGUGUUCACCAAAGCGCUGGCCUUCAGCACCAUCCUCACCAUCCGAGCCGUGCUCUUCUGACACCGAGGUAUCGACCGCCAUCUUUCAAAAGCAAGCCGAGCUUCUCCUAAUUGUGCAGCAGCUUCAUGUUCUCUCACUGUCGUGGUGCACAAACGUGAUUCACGGCUGGUUUUUGUCCUUUUUAUUUCCCGGUGCGGAUCUGUGUAACAUGAGUGAAGACAUGUUGUCAUAUUAUCUGCAUGUAACAUAUAUAAAAUAUCUUCUGUGUUUUCUAUAAUACCAGUUUGGUAUCAGCUUUUUCAUGAUUGAGUUUGAUGUAAGUUGUUUCCUGAUUGAUUGACUUUGAUGUCAACAUGAUGCAAUACAAGACUUUAUUUUAAUAAACUUUGCGUCCUUAUAAACACGUCAGCAGUGGUUUGUUUAUUUGAAACUCUUUAGAC